RNAcentral lists this ribosomal RNA (517 nucleotides) under Pseudomonas sp. Hugh619. RNAcentral describes it as "bacterial SSU rRNA". It matches the Rfam family "Bacterial small subunit ribosomal RNA", at positions 8 to 521 of the family's 1533-position model. The record is from RNAcentral. Lineage: Bacteria; Pseudomonadati; Pseudomonadota; Gammaproteobacteria; Pseudomonadales; Pseudomonadaceae.
AGAGUUUGAUCCUGGCUCAGAUUGAACGCUGGCGGCAGGCCUAACACAUGCAAGUCGAGCGGAUGACGGAGCUUGCUCCCUGAUUUAGCGGCGGACGGGUGAGUAAUGCCUAGGAAUCUGCCUGGUAGUGGGGGAUAACGUUCCGAAAGGAACGCUAAUACCGCAUACGUCCUACGGGAGAAAGCAGGGGACCUUCGGGCCUUGCGCUAUCAGAUGAGCCUAGGUCGGAUUAGCUAGUUGGUGAGGUAAUGGCUCACCAAGGCGACGAUCCGUAACUGGUCUGAGAGGAUGAUCAGUCACACUGGAACUGAGACACGGUCCAGACUCCUACGGGAGGCAGCAGUGGGGAAUAUUGGACAAUGGGCGAAAGCCUGAUCCAGCCAUGCCGCGUGUGUGAAGAAGGUCUUCGGAUUGUAAAGCACUUUAAGUUGGGAGGAAGGGCAGUAAGUUAAUACCUUGCUGUUUUGACGUUACCGACAGAAUAAGCACCGGCUAACUUCGUGCCAGCAGCCGCGGU